RNAcentral lists this ribosomal RNA (404 nucleotides) under uncultured bacterium. RNAcentral describes it as "bacterial SSU rRNA". It matches the Rfam family "Bacterial small subunit ribosomal RNA", at positions 355 to 776 of the family's 1533-position model. The record is from RNAcentral.
UGGGGAAUAUUGCACAAUGGGGGAAACCCUGAUGCAGCAACGCCGCGUGAGUGAUGAAGGUCUUCGGAUUGUAAAGCUCUGUCUUCUGGGACGAUAAUGACGGUACCAGAGGAGGAAGCCACGGCUAACUACGUGCCAGCAGCCGCGGUAAUACGUAGGUGGCAAGCGUUGUCCGGAUUUACUGGGUGUAAAGGAUGCGUAGGUGGAUAAAUAAGUCAGAUGUGAAAUCCCCGGGCUUAACCCGGGGACUGCAUUUGAAACUGUCUAUCUGGAGUACAGGAGAGGAAAGCAGAAUUCCUAGUGUAGCGGUGAAAUGCGUAGAUAUUAGGAAGAAUACCAGUGGCGAAGGCGGCUUUCUGGACUGUAACUGACACUGAGGCAUGAAAGCGUGGGGAGCAAACAGG